This 404-nucleotide RNase P RNA is filed under the name Streptomyces sp. WAC 01529. RNAcentral's name for it is "RNase P RNA component class A". It matches the Rfam family "Bacterial RNase P class A". Rfam says of the family: Ribonuclease P (RNase P) is a ubiquitous endoribonuclease, found in archaea, bacteria and eukarya as well as chloroplasts and mitochondria. Its best characterised activity is the generation of mature 5'-ends of tRNAs by cleaving the 5'-leader elements of precursor-tRNAs. RNAcentral also lists the same sequence under 1 other name. The record is from RNAcentral. Lineage: Bacteria; Bacillati; Actinomycetota; Actinomycetes; Kitasatosporales; Streptomycetaceae.
CGAGCCGGGCGGACGGCCGCGUGAAGACCCCUCAGGGGGCGCUUCCCGAGGAACGUCCGGGCUCCACAGGGCAAGGUGGUGGCUAACGGCCACCCGGGGUGACCCGCGGGACAGUGCCACAGAAAACAGACCGCCCGGUGCUUCGGCGCCGGGUAAGGGUGAAACGGUGGUGUAAGAGACCACCAGUGCCCAGGGUGACCUGGGCAGCUAGGUAAACCCCACCUGGAGCAAGGUCAAAAGGAGACGCCCCGGCGUCUCUGCGCGGACGACCGAGGGCUGCCCGCCCGAGUCCGCGGGUAGACCGCACGAGGCCGGCAGCAAUGCCGGCCCUAGAUGGAUGGCCGUCGCCGCGACGUCCGCGAGGACCCGCGGCACAGAACCCGGCGUACAGCCCGACUCGUCUG